UUUCCGUAGGUGAACCAGCGGAAGGAUCAUUAUUGUAUAACCGAGGUGCGAGGGCUGUCGCUGACCCGACAGGUCGUGCACGCCCGAGUGCCCUCACACACAUCCAUCUCACCCCUAUGUGCACCACCGCGUGGGUCCCCCUUUGGCUUGUUCGGAGGGGGGCUUACGUUUUCACACAAACUUUGUAUGCAGUGUAGAAUGUAUUUUUUGUUUUUGCGAUCACGCAAUCAAUACAACUUUCAACAACGGAUCUCUUGGCUCUC
RNAcentral lists this unclassified non-coding RNA (263 nucleotides) under plant metagenome. RNAcentral describes it as "partial contains small subunit ribosomal RNA, internal transcribed spacer 1, and 5.8S ribosomal RNA". The record is from RNAcentral.